Molecule: non-coding RNA, 117 nt
Filed under: Pan paniscus (pygmy chimpanzee)
Lineage: Eukaryota; Metazoa; Chordata; Mammalia; Primates; Hominidae
Also listed under: 1 other name
Source: Rfam by way of RNAcentral
GCUGGGCGUGGUGGCUCAUGCCUGUAAUCCCAGCACUUUGGGAGGCUGAGGCGGGUGGAUCACCUGAGGUCAGGAGUUCAAGACCAGCCUGGCCAACAUGGUGAAAACUUGUCUCUA